CCUACGGGAGGCAGCAGUGAGGAAUAUUGGUCAAUGGGCGAGAGCCUGAACCAGCCAAGUCGCGUGAGGGAGUACUGCCCUAUGGGUUGUAAACCUCUUUUGUCGGGGAGCAAAAGCCGGACGUGUCCGGCUGUGAGAGUACCCGAAGAAAAAGCAUCGGCUAACUCCGUGCCAGCAGCCGCGGUAAUACGGAGGAUGCGAGCGGUAUCCGGAUUUAUUGGGUUUAAAGGGUGCGCAGGCGGAUUUUUAAGUCAGCGGUAAAAUCGUGGGGCUCAACCCCAUCCAGCCGUUGAAACUGGGGAUCUAGAGUGUGCGAGAGGUAUGCGGAAUGCGUGGUGUAGCGGUGAAAUGCAUAGAUAUCACGCAGAACCCCGAUUGCGAAGGCAGCAUACCGGUGCACAACUGACGCUCAGGCACGAAAGCGUGGGUAUCGAACAGGAUUAGAUACCCGUGUAGUC
Molecule: ribosomal RNA, 458 nt
Filed under: uncultured bacterium
Lineage: Bacteria
Description: partial 16S ribosomal RNA
Rfam family: Bacterial small subunit ribosomal RNA
Source: RNAcentral